GUGGGGAAUAUUGGACAAUGGGCGAAAGCCUGAUCCAGCCAUGCCGCGUGUGUGAAGAAGGUCUUCGGAUUGUAAAGCACUUUAAGUUGGGAGGAAGGGCAGUAAGUUAAUACCUUGCUGUUUUGACGUUACCGACAGAAUAAGCACCGGCUAACUUCGUGCCAGCAGCCGCGGUAAUACGAAGGGUGCAAGCGUUAAUCGGAAUUACUGGGCGUAAAGCGCGCGUAGGUGGUUUUGUAAGUUGGAGGUGAAAUCACCGGGCUCAACCUGGGAACUGCCUCGAAAAUUGCAUGACUAGAGUACGGUAGAGGGUAGUGGAAUUUCCUGUGUAGCGGUGAAAUGCGUAGAUAUAGGAAGGAACACCAGUGGCGAAGGCGACUACGUGGACUGAUACUGACACUGAGGUGCGAAAGCGUGGUGAGCAAACAGGAUUAGAUACCCGAGUAGUCC
Molecule: ribosomal RNA, 450 nt
Filed under: uncultured bacterium
Lineage: Bacteria
Description: partial 16S ribosomal RNA
Rfam family: Bacterial small subunit ribosomal RNA
Source: RNAcentral